AGCACCUGAGCAGGAGAGACGCGUGAGCAGCCCGCGGACCCCAACUGCCAGCACCGUUUACUGUCUUUUCCAGUGUAGAAGACACUAAGACAAGCCAAGGCCAUCCUGAUUUUCCGGGGAACCACUUUCUCAUACUUUAGUUUUAACAUUCCUGUGGCCAACCUGGAAGCUCUGCUGAAACCUGUUCUGCAUCACAGCAACACACAAGCCUCUACUGACAGGUGAUGGCUGCACAUGAGGUGCGCUGGCCAGGAAUCCAACCAGGUCUCCCACGUAGAAGGAUGCAUAGUCAAUCUCUCGGCUGAUCCCAUCCCCAGACCGGUCGCUCAGGGGCGGGGCAAAGGACAACUCCUUCACUCCCAGGAAGGACUUGAAUUGGGCAAAGAGUUCUGGAAACUUCCUUCAAAGACAAUGAUCAGCAGUAAGUCAGCACCUCAGGGCCUCCAAGACCGAGACUUCAGAAUGGCUUCUGGGUCACUAGUGGUCAGAAUUCAGUGUCAGGGAGCAAGGCAGGUGAGCUGCCCCACCUCCAUGUACCCAGUCAGACCCCUUUCUGUGCGCCCAUGCUUGUUACUCAUGCUCGUUACUUGAAGGGAGGCCUUGAAAUGUGCCACAAGGGUGAGCUAACCCAGCAGAAACCAGGGGCCUGGGGUCAGCCAGUGACCAUCCUAAACUGGAAGGGGCCAGGUGUGAGGCCAGGGAUUUGCAAACUGUGGCCCAGGGGCCAAAUCUAGCCUUUCUGUAAAUAAAGUUUUAUCGACACAAAGCCACACCCAUCUAUGUACAUAUCACCUACACUGCACAUGACGGGGCAGAGUUGAGUGGCUGCAACAGAGACCAUGUGGCCCCCCAAACUUAGUGUACUUACUAUCUGGCCCCUUGCCGACCCCUGCUCUAGAGUCUCCCUGGCCUUAUGAAGGAGCCUCCAUCCUGGAAACCCCCUGCAGACAAGCUCUCAUGAAUCAAAAGCCUAACUACCAUGAAUGCCCACAAGGAAACCUUAAUGCAUUUGACCCCAGGACAACCUGGAUUUACAGUUAAAUAACACCAAGCCCUUCGGAAGAGGCUGCAGUGCCUCUGACAGUCACGCAGUUGUCCUGCUGCGACCCAGCAAGGUGCCUCCCUCAACCACUCCAUCCCUCUGUGAUACGGCCACCCUGUGCCCCACCUUGGAGGACCCUGCACUCACUCUGUACACAAAAGGGACGAAAGCCACAACAACUUGAGUAGAGGACGUCUGCGAGGCACUUGAGCCAACGUGCCCUGUUCCAGCACGAUGUCAGCUGGUGGCAGUCCUCUGGCCACCACACUCAGCUGCCCAUGGGGUGAGCACACCAGGCCAAAGCUUGCAAAUGCAGGAGAGGCCCAUGGAGGUGACCACUGCUAAACCAUCAUCUCAGAAGAGCCUGAAGGGGCCCCUCAUGACUGGACCCUGUCCCAACCCCUUCCCUCAAUCCUCUCACUUUCCAUCUGCUCAGUGCCUCCCAGGGAAUGUUCCUUCCCUCUUCUUUAGGUGUCCCUGGGUGCUACAAACGGUUUAGUGCCUGGCUGUUAACUGAAGUUGGAGGCUUGAGUUCACCCAGAGGUGCCUCGGAAGACAAGCCUGGCUAUUCUGCUUCCGAAAGGUCAGUCCUGAAAACCCUAUGGAGUGCAGUUCUACUCUUUGUCUGCUAUGGGGAAAAUUCUCGUGGCGUCUCUCUCCCCCGUUUGCUAGCUUGUCUGUGUCUAUGCUGCUCCUUCUAACCUCAGAACUGAGUGGGUUUAGGACACACCACCCCACCUUGCUAUGACCUCGCUAACGUUAACGAAAACUUUCUAUCCCCGAAUAUGGUCACACCCUCAGAUACAGACGUUAGGAUUCCAAUAUAUAUUUUGUGGGACACAAUUUCAUCUGUAACACUAUCAUAUCAUUUCUUACAACUGACUGCGUGUGAAUCUACAAAGAUCUUGAUACUAACUUCGACUAAAAAGCAAAGCCAACAACAGCCAACCUCCUCAAAAACAGAUCUCCAACCCCAAGAGCAAGGGGGUGGGCUCACGAUGGUGGGCUGCAUGGGCUCAGAGGGUCGCUCACCCCAGGAACGGGCUGACCAGCUGCAGGAGCUCAGAGCCAGACACAAGCUCCUGGUUGAAGAGCGCGAUGCAGCGGAGGAAGUUCUCAUAGACCUCCUGGCUCUUCAGCACCCGGCGCACCUGCGGGGAGAGCGCAUCAGGGGGUCCUGCUCUGCCUGGCCCCCACGUGACUCAACUGUCACUUGGCAUGCGUGGCCCCACCACCCAUCUGCUAUCAGAGGGUCCUGCCCUGCCCAGCCUCCAUGAGGUUCAGAUGUCACCUAGCUUAAGGGUCCCACCACCCGCCCACCAUCAGAAGGUCUUGCCCUGCCCAGCCUCAAUGCAGAUCAGCUGUCACCCUGUGCGUGUGUCCCACUGCCAGCCCACUUGCCAUCAGAGGGUACUGUUCUGCCUGGCCCCCACAUGACUUGGACAUCACCCAGGGUCCCCACCACCCACCCAUCGUCAAUGUGACCAGCCAUAACCUGCAGGCUAAUGCUGUGUGUGGGGUGGUCUGUAAGGUGUGCACACCAGCCAUCUCCCUGCCUCUGCACAGCUUGGGUGUCAUCCAGUGUGCACAUCCCUACCAGCUGCCUGAGCUCUAUGUGACUAGCUGUGGUCUGUGGGCAACUACCGCGUGUCGUCUGUCCUGCCCACUCACCCUGGGCACCAUGCCCACUUAAGAAGGGGGCAACGUUGAAGCUUUGCAUGCUGCAAGGGCAGAUGUGUUCCCAACCCUGCCCCAGUUCAUGCUGCCCUUCCCACCUGCUCUGCUGUCUCUCUGUCCACCACGCACCCCACUCUCCCUAGCCUCCCCCCAGAGCUCCCACCCUUGCGCUGCACGUGUACCUCCCGUAGGGCUGUGUGGCCAGUCUGAGCUGGGCCUUCGUGGGCGCAGCCCCAGGGAGCAAGAGCUCAGCGGGCCAAUCAAACCACCCCCAAGACGAGUGCAAGGGCAGCGCCCCUCACCUUGUCAAAGAAGGAGAACUCCUGUAGGGUCCCGUACUUGCCCACGGCGGCGAUGGACAGGUCCUUGGUCCCGCGGAGCUUCAUCUUCUUCUGCAGAGAGAAUCUAGAUGUUAAUCUCUCCUUCCCUGGGUGCCCUCCAUCCACUUCUGGUCCAGUAACAAGGACAGCAAGCUGGGCUCUCCUGGCAGAAUGAGGACCAGGGCCCUCCCCACCAUGAAGGUUGGGACUCCCCACGAUGGUGCAGUGGCCCCUCACUGUGAAGGAUGGGACUCUCCCCACACAUACUGCACAGCAAUCCUCACUUGGAAGACUGGGACCCCCACGACUGUGCAGUACCACCCACUGUGAAGUCAGGGCCCCCCACAACCACACAGUGCCCUCCCUGCCCACAGCCCCCAAGAAGGUCUGUCAGGUGCCCACAUGGUACUCACCCACCCCCUCUCACAUUCUCUACCCUGCAUAGAAGAGGGAACAGGGGUGGGGGAGAGGCUGGUGCUACCCCUACAUGCAGGCACCCCAUGGCCAGCCACAGCCCAGGGCCAGGCACUCAGCCACCUGUAGCUCGGCUGGUGUCCUCUGGUCCCUACAACCUGUGCCCCCUGGUUAACAGAUAAAUCGCCUCAAUUUUCUGUGGGUACCUUUGGGCACCAGGGUUAGCCGGGUGUGGCUGGAGCUGGGGACCCUGUGCAGUGAUUGACCAGGACAACUGUACUCUGUGGCUGUGCCAGAAUCCCAGGGCAAACCAGGUGGUACAUCUGGCUCCUCUAGCCCCUCCUCUCUGAAGCCAAUCUCAUGAGAGAGGGGUAGCGAGCGACCACCAUGAGACACUGACUUCCCAAGGUCAUUCAGCUGGAAAAUUGUGGGCCAGACCAAACCAGACUCCAGCCACACCCUGGGCUUGAGGCUCCAGGUGGGACCUUUGCACACCCAUGCCACAAGGGUCGCUGGGCUAGUGACCACAGGCUGGGCAGUGGGGUCUGUAGCAGGGAGCCAUCUGCACAUGGCUGACACCUACCUUGGCC
Long non-coding RNA from Loxodonta africana (African savanna elephant), 4043 nucleotides. RefSeq lists it as uncharacterized. Lineage: Eukaryota; Metazoa; Chordata; Mammalia; Proboscidea; Elephantidae. The record is from RefSeq and is a predicted model, not a curated record. The transcript is spliced from 4 exons.